Molecule: ribosomal RNA, 254 nt
Filed under: uncultured bacterium
Lineage: Bacteria
Description: partial 16S ribosomal RNA
Rfam family: Bacterial small subunit ribosomal RNA
Source: RNAcentral
UACGGGGGGAGCAAGCGUUGUUCGGAUUUACUGGGCGUAAAGGGCGCGUAGGCGGUCAGCACAAGUCAGUUGUGAAAUCUCCGGGCUUAACCCGGAAAGGUCAACUGAUACUGUGCGACUAGAGUGCGGAAGGGGCAACUGGAAUUCUCGGUGUAGCGGUGAAAUGCGUAGAUAUCGAGAGGAACACCAGUGGCGAAGGCGAGUCCCUGGACAGAUCCUGACGCUGAGGCACGAAAGCUAGGGGAGCAAACAGG